This 22-nucleotide non-coding RNA is filed under the name Arabidopsis thaliana (thale cress). The record is from RNAcentral. Lineage: Eukaryota; Viridiplantae; Streptophyta; Magnoliopsida; Brassicales; Brassicaceae.
CAGCAGGCGCGCAAAUUACCCA